UUAAAUUGAAGAGUUUGAUCAUGGCUCAGAUUGAACGCUGGCGGCAGGCCUAACACAUGCAAGUCGAACGGUAACAGGAAGCAGCUUGCUGCUUUGCUGACGAGUGGCGGACGGGUGAGUAAUGUCUGGGAAACUGCCUGAUGG
RNAcentral lists this ribosomal RNA (144 nucleotides) under Escherichia coli. Its description in RNAcentral is "partial 16S ribosomal RNA". It matches the Rfam family "Bacterial small subunit ribosomal RNA", at positions 1 to 136 of the family's 1533-position model. Lineage: Bacteria; Pseudomonadati; Pseudomonadota; Gammaproteobacteria; Enterobacterales; Enterobacteriaceae. RNAcentral also lists the same sequence under 19 other names. The record is from RNAcentral.